RNAcentral lists this transfer RNA (56 nucleotides) under Triticum aestivum (bread wheat). It matches the Rfam family "tRNA", at positions 10 to 63 of the family's 71-position model. From Rfam's summary of the family: Transfer RNA (tRNA) molecules are approximately 80 nucleotides in length. Their secondary structure includes four short double-helical elements and three loops (D, anti-codon, and T loops). The record is from Rfam by way of RNAcentral. Lineage: Eukaryota; Viridiplantae; Streptophyta; Magnoliopsida; Poales; Poaceae.
GCUCAGUUGGUAAAGCAUAAGGCUCUUGACCUUGUGGACGUGGGUUCAAGUCCCGC